This 232-nucleotide long non-coding RNA is filed under the name Bos indicus x Bos taurus (hybrid cattle). RNAcentral describes it as "lncRNA (ENSBIXG00005016809.1)". The record is from RNAcentral. Lineage: Eukaryota; Metazoa; Chordata; Mammalia; Artiodactyla; Bovidae.
AUGAAAUGUCUUCUUCUGGCUGGCCUUUUGAUUAUGGCCACUGCUUUGCCCAUCCCUCUUGAACAAUCUGGAGAAAGUUCCAGUGCUCAGAGAUUUAACACUUACCCACCCCAAGGAGCAACAUUUUCCCCUCAGAUCCCACUUGCCCCACCUGUACAACUGCCCCUGGUCCUGACACUUAAUGAUCUCAUAGCGUUAAUCAUUUCUAUCUUGAACCAACUUGGGAAAUAAU